UACGUAGGGGGCAAGCGUUGUCCGGAAUUAUUGGGCGUAAAGGGCGCGUAGGCGGCCACGCACGUCCGUUGUGAAAUCGCCCGGCUCAACUGGGCGGGGUCGGCGGAUACGGCGUGGCUGGAGCAAGCUAGGGGGCAAUGGAAUUCCCGGUGUAGUGGUGGAAUGCGUAGAGAUCGGGAAGAACAUCGGUGGCGAAAGCGCUCUACUGGACCACAACUGACACUCAGGGACGAAAGCUAGGGGAGCGAAUGGG
RNAcentral lists this ribosomal RNA (253 nucleotides) under uncultured bacterium. RNAcentral describes it as "partial 16S ribosomal RNA". It matches the Rfam family "Bacterial small subunit ribosomal RNA", at positions 524 to 776 of the family's 1533-position model. The record is from RNAcentral.